Molecule: ribosomal RNA, 406 nt
Filed under: uncultured bacterium
Lineage: Bacteria
Description: bacterial SSU rRNA
Rfam family: Bacterial small subunit ribosomal RNA
Source: RNAcentral
UGGGGAAUUUUCCGCAAUGGGCGAAAGCCUGACGGAGCGACGCCGCGUGGGUGAUGAAGUCUUUCGGGAUGUAAAGCCCUCUCAGCAGGGAAGAAGACAGUGACGGUACCUGCAGAAGAAGCAUCGGCUAACUACGUGCCAGCAGCCGCGGUAAGACGUAGGAUGCAAGCGUUGUCCGGAUUUAUUGGGCGUAAAGAGAACGUAGGUGGCUAGUUAAGUCUGAGGUGAAAGCCCACGGCUCAACCGUGGAUCCGCCUUGGAUACUGGGUAGCUUGAGGAGCGCAGAGGAAAGUGGAAUUCCCAGUGUAGCGGUGAGAUGCGUAGAUAUUGGGAGGAACACCAGUGGCGAAAGCGACUUUCUGGGCGUUUCCUGACGCUGAGGUUCGAAAGCCAGGGGAGCAAACGG